CGCCUUAUGGCAGACGCACUAGACUUAGGAUCUAGCGCCUUUGGCGUGGGGGUUCGACUCCCUUCACCC
Molecule: transfer RNA, 69 nt
Filed under: Bacillus mycoides
Lineage: Bacteria; Bacillati; Bacillota; Bacilli; Caryophanales; Bacillaceae
Description: tRNA-Leu (TAG) (tRNA-Leu-TAG-1-1)
Source: RNAcentral